This is a long non-coding RNA of Pseudopipra pipra, 1776 nucleotides long. RefSeq lists it as uncharacterized. The transcript has 3 exons. The record is from RefSeq and is a predicted model, not a curated record. NCBI's taxonomy places the organism in Eukaryota, Metazoa, Chordata, Aves, Passeriformes, Pipridae.
AGAAGGGACUGGAUGAGAUUUGUUUUUAACCCUCUGGGCUGAAGAUGUGUCAGGAACAGGGGGUGUUUUGAAUACAAGUAAAUGUUAGAACACAAUAUUUGACCUAUCUAUCAUACAGCACAUUUCAGAGAAGGACUGUAUUUCUGCACUGAAGCCAACUCUUCACAGGCAAGUCAUUUGAAUUCCUCCAUGUUUGCUUCCUCCAGCCUCCAGGAAAUGAAAUCUAACUUAAAAAAAUAUCAUUUUUGAUGAGGGUUUCAACUGAAGAGUAAAGACUGAAGUGCCAGUCCCUGCAGAGCACUGUCAGAUUUUUCCCAUGUUGAGUAAUUCUGGUUCCUAAUGGAGUUCACACUAAGUUACCUACCCCAAAACAUCUGUGAUUUAAACUGUUUGAUGGAAUAUAUCUCAUUGAAAACCAGUGGGACACUGAAUUAUUUGACUCCCCUGAGCUCUGCCCUAGUGGAGCACUGUCAGUGUCCAAACCUCCUCCCACACACUUCCCAACGAUUCAGAAAGUGGGUCAUUAACACGUUUUGUCAUUUGAUGCAAUUUCUCCCUUCCCUCUAAACUGGGCUUUUUUCCAGGUCCAGUAGCCAACAAUAAAUCAAUCACAGUCUCUCACAAGCCUUUUGACUCAAAUUCUAUCCUGUAGGUUGGGCUGAAACCAGAGCAGAAAUCACUGCAGGAGGUGGGGCAGGACAGGGCUAGUGGUGACUGCCACCGAGGAGGUGUUUGCUUGACCCACUGCUGCUCUUGCUGCCGUUCUUUGUGGACUCCUCCUCAGUAUCUGUGACAGAAUCUUCCUCCUCUUCAUCACUCCGAUCAUCUUUCAAGUCCUAGGGAGAAGAAAGCACUUGCAACAAGCUCACACGAGCAGCACCUGCCUGCCUGGAAGACUUUCCAUGCCAAUGGAUGACCUUCUCUGCAGACUCAGGGCAGGAUGCUCUAGUUAAAGAUAGACAUCAAGAAAACACUUCCUACUUCCUAAAUGUUCUCAGGCACCACUUUUUAUGUCUUUUUGUACCACAGGGUGCUUGUCCUGAGGGAGACCUGAGGCUUCUCCUCCUGACAGAGCACGUGUGCUGGAGCUGGCAGGAAUGUCAGUCCUUGCACAGACAACCCACAGCCACACUGGGACCACCCCAUAAUGGAUAAUUUUGUGCUCAUGUCAUCUGUCUGGACCUCAACUGGACAGGCAGAGUCUGCCUGUUGUCCCUGCUCCUGGAGCACUGUGACGCAGGAAGGAGAAACCAGGGCUGUUCCUGCCCAUCCUGCAUCUGCUCUCGGAGUGAACCAACAAUUCCACUUCCUCAGCAUGCUGGUCUGAGGUCUUUCCUAAGCACCAAACUCAUACAGAGAAAAUAAAUAACAGCUCAGUAAUAACUCAUCCAAUUGCAAUCUCAUAUCCCCUCCUAUAUUACACUCCCAGUAAAAGGUACAGGGCUAGAAAGCAAAUUAAAGCCCGAGCUCUGUCUCAUCACAAACUAUAAACUUCCUGGAGAUUUUCUUCUGCCUUUUCCCUAACAACAUACAAAGGGUAUCAAAACAAACAAAUCUUACUGUAAAUACUGUAAAAUAAACUUGGCAUGCCAUCAGUUAGAGAAAAGGCAAGGCAGGCUUUCCCACACAAACAAUUUAUGAGGUUCUGGCUCUUUCAGAUCACCUCGCUCCCUCCUGGUAGUGUUGCCGUCUGUAUUUGCAGUAAAACACAAAUGCUGAGGGGGAAGGGGGAGGAUUGUUGCUUUUUUUGCCACCAGAAAUGUUUCAGAACAAAAA